Molecule: unclassified non-coding RNA, 222 nt
Filed under: Hevea brasiliensis (rubber tree)
Lineage: Eukaryota; Viridiplantae; Streptophyta; Magnoliopsida; Malpighiales; Euphorbiaceae
Source: RNAcentral
GCACAAGAUAGUAAGAAAGGAGAUAAAGAUGUCUCUGAGGAUGCAGUUGAUGUGCUUCUCUCUCUUGGACUUAUUGAUUUGCUUUUGGGCAUUCUCCGUGAUAUUGAACCGCCGGCGGUAAUAAAGAAAGCACUUCAACAAGCAGAGAAUGAAGAUAGAAAAAAUCUUCCAAACAUAUUAAAGGCGUGUCCAUAUAAAGGGUUUCGAAGAGAUAUUGUUGCU